Anneissia japonica is the source of this 657-nucleotide long non-coding RNA. RefSeq lists it as uncharacterized. Lineage: Eukaryota; Metazoa; Echinodermata; Crinoidea; Comatulida; Comatulidae. The record is from RefSeq and is a predicted model, not a curated record. The transcript is spliced from 2 exons.
UCCCUCGAUUUUCAUCUAUUUCCAUAAGCGUCCCCUCAAUUUCCACUCUGUUUUCAUAAGCACCCCUCAGAAAGUGCAAAAAUAUUUUAAGCGCCCGGGCGCUUAUUCGCGCGAGUACGGUACUUGGAAAAGUGAGCAAAUGAGCAAAGCUCCAUCCAUUACAUUAGUUAGCUAUUUUUGGUCCUCCUUUUACAGAUACAGUACUGUAUGUAUUACUUUUAGACUUGGUAAAUGGCAAAGUAUGGUAAGUGUUAAAACCCAUACAGCAAUAUGUGUGAUGACACAGUUUAAAGAUGAGAGGAAUCUCCAUGUAUAUGUAUAGCCAUUGGUCUCAAAUACUUGGAAAUAAAUACAAUUUUAAAAACAAUAAAGAUUUUUACUGUGUUAUUUAUGUGUUUGCAGACCUGAAGUGAACUUACAAAUUGUUAAAUAGAACAAGAAGAAAAUACAUUGAGAACCACAACCAAAUGUUUAUUCCAAAUUACAAAAUGUCAUCAACAUGAAAUAUGCGAGUGAUAUGAUACACUUAGUAGUGGUUGGACUUCUAUUAGAAGUAAAUUUCACUGUAAUUAAGAUUUGCAUAUUGUGGUAUAAAACAGUUUUCAACAGGUAGUCUUAGCUAGUCAAUUAUGACCAUUCGUAUAACACUGACUUAAG